AACGAACGCUGGCGGCAGGCUUGACACAUGCAAGUCGAACGGGUGUAGCAAUACAUCAGUGGCAGACGGGUGAGUAACACGUGGGAACCUUCCUAGGGGUACGGAACAACUCAGGGAAACUUGAGCUUAUACCGUAUACGUCCGUGAUGAGAAAGAUUUAUCGCCCUUAGACGGGCCCGCGUCGGAUUAGUUAGUUGGUGGGGUAACGGCCUACCAAGGCGACGAUCCGUAGCUGAUCUUAGAGGAUGAUCAGCCACACUGGGACUGAGACACGGCCCAGACUCCUACGGGAGGCAGCAGUGGGGAAUCUUGGACAAUGGGCGCAAGCCUGAUCCAGCCAUGCCGCGUGAGUGAAGAAGGUCUUCGGAUUGUAAAGCUCUUUUGCCAGGGACGAUAAUGACGGUACCUGGAGAAUAAGCCCCGGCAAACUUCGUGCCAGCCGCCGCCGUAA
This 451-nucleotide ribosomal RNA is filed under the name uncultured bacterium. RNAcentral's name for it is "partial 16S ribosomal RNA". It matches the Rfam family "Bacterial small subunit ribosomal RNA", at positions 29 to 523 of the family's 1533-position model. The record is from RNAcentral.